UACAGAGGGUGCAAGCGUUAAUCGGAAUUACUGGGCGUAAAGCGCACGUAGGCGGCUUUUUAAGUCAGAUGUGAAAGCCCCGGGCUCAACCUGGGAAUUGCAUUUGAAACUGGGGAACUAGAGUGUGUGAGAGGGGGGUAGAAUUCCAAGUGUAGCGGUGAAAUGCGUAGAGAUUUGGAGGAAUACCAGUGGCGAAGGCGGCCCCCUGGCACAACACUGACGCUCAGGUGCGAAAGCGUGGGGAGCAAACAGG
Molecule: ribosomal RNA, 253 nt
Filed under: uncultured bacterium
Lineage: Bacteria
Description: partial 16S ribosomal RNA
Rfam family: Bacterial small subunit ribosomal RNA
Source: RNAcentral